This 489-nucleotide ribosomal RNA is filed under the name Paenibacillus sp. ICGEB2008. RNAcentral's name for it is "bacterial LSU rRNA". It matches the Rfam family "Bacterial large subunit ribosomal RNA", at positions 1 to 480 of the family's 2925-position model. The record is from RNAcentral. Lineage: Bacteria; Bacillati; Bacillota; Bacilli; Caryophanales; Paenibacillaceae.
AGGUUAAGCUACAAAGAGCACACGGAGGAUGCCUAGGCGCCAGGAGCCGACGAAGGACGUGGCGAACAACGAUAAAGCCUCGGGGAGCUGUAAGCAAGCUUUGAUCCGGGGAUGUCCGAAUGGGGAAACCCGGCUGUCUUCAUCGACAGUCGCUACUCACUGAAUUCAUAGGUGAGUGAGAGGCAGACCAGGGGAACUGAAACAUCUAAGUACCCUGAGGAAGAGAAAACAAUAGUGAUUCCGUCAGUAGCGGCGAGCGAACGCGGAUUAGCCCAAACCAAGGAGCUUGCUCCUUGGGGUUGUGGGACGUCUCACAUGGAGUUACAAAGGAACCGGUUAGAUGAAGAGGUCUGGAAAGGCCCGCCAGAGAAGGUAAAAGCCCUGUAGUUCAAAACCUGUUCCCUCCGAGACGGAUCCCGAGUAGUGCGGGGCACGUGAAACCCCGUAUGAAUCCGGCAGGACCAUCUGCCAAGGCUAAAUACUCCCUGG